AAGGCUAGAGCCAUGUAAUGGUUUUCAUGGUAUCAAUUGAAUGAAAUUAGCUUUGAUGGUAAAAUGCAGGGUAGCGUUUGUCAUAAAAAAGAUGAAAUGGACGCAGGCCAAUAAUGGUUUACGUGUAUUUCUCAUUGAAUACAAUAAAAUCAUUUUCUGUAUCAUGAAUAAAGUGUACUAGCAAAUUAAUCCUAAAUGGGUGAAUUAAAAGUAAAAACUAAUCUUUCAGAUGUACUGAACAAUGAAAUGGAAUGCAAAACAAAAAAAAGAACAUCUGAAAAAUCUAAAUAAAACAAUGUAUGUGCCAUGCAUGGACAAAACAAAACCAUUGUCACCUGCAAAAUGUAUCAAAGGCAAGCUUUCUACAUGUAAUGAAUAACAUAUAUAUAUACCAUAAAUGUAUAAAACAUCCUGAUUUGUUUAUAUAUAAUAAUAGAAACGACAACACACUGUUACUCAAUCAGAACACACCCUUAACUCAGAGGCCUUCUACAUUUGCAAGAGAUGUAGAUAAAUCCUAAAGAUCUACCAUUCAUGUUUGAGCACGAUACUUCCAAUGCUAUCAUAUCAUUAUAUUAGAUGAUGAUAUCUUUGAAAGUUUGUUUAAUCAUUCCCCUUCAUGAUGAUGUAUUGGUAAUUGAUAAAAGAAAAAAAGUGAUAUCUUACUUCUGAGAAUUUUCUUUCAAUUCACAAUUGUUUCACCUUAUUAACAUCCUGCUAAAAUUAAUAUCGAUAUGUAGUUGAUUAGAACUUGACACACAAAAAAAUAAAAGUGGGAUGUAGUUGAUUUAAAUUGUAAAUUUCAUCAAUUGCAUAUAGUUAAUUGCUAUGUCGGUGAUGAAUAUAUGGAAGUAAAAUCAUUACAAAUGCUACAUCAUCAUAAAUAGCAAUGAGUUUCAUCAUUACAACAUUAGAUAAGAUAGUAACAAGAGUUACACAAACACAAAAUCAUGAAUUGUAGACCUUUAUGAUGAAUUCCUACUUCUUAUUCUCCCUCCUUUCCUUUUUUUUUGAAAGCCACAACCACAUGGGUCUUUUAUUGACAACAAUUCUGGAUUUCAGCAAAAUUUGCAUUAGGUAAAAUCCUUCUAAUUAAUGCAAAGAUGAGAUAAAAUAUCAUAAGUACAAUAAUUUACAUUACAAAAAGAAAUCUCUUUACAAUCACAUUUAUAAAUUCAUUUCGAAGUAGAAAAUAUACAACCCAUGCUUUUGAAUAUUUAUUUUUGAUAUGAUUAACAGAAGAACAAAACUCUAUAGACAAAUUUCAAUAUUUUUCUUGCAUAGAAAAAAAGUAUAUUUUAUCAACAUAUUUAUGACAAAAGAAUUCAUCAACUUUUUUUUGUCAUUCAAUUUCUUUUCACACUUUUUAUUCAAUAUUUCUUAUAUAUUUUACUGUUUGUAAUUUGAAAAAAAAUGAAAGUCAAACUACACAUUAUUCAACUUUCAAACUGCACUGGAAAAGUCUUUAAAAUAUAUGAUGAUAUUUCAAAAUGAAAUUAAUAAUUUUCUCCUUUUUUUCUUCAACAGAUACAUUCAGACAACCCUCAGAAUACAACUUGUGGCAGAUUUAUAUUGCUAAUUUUCUGUAAAAUUGUUAUCUCUUUUCAAUUUCAGAAUAAAAUGCAUCGACGAUACUAUCAAAAUUCUACCACUGAUGGUUUUUAUCAUAAUUCUGUUUGAAAACUCCUGCCGAAGAGCAAGAAUAUAUAUAGGUUCUAUUUUAAUUAGUAUUAAUUCCUUGCUUCUCAAGCAUAAUUACAUAGGGCAUGGCAGAGAAGAUGACUAAUAUCUCUUAAAAAUGUACAAAAUAUCUCUGAUUUGUAAAUUCAAAUGAAACAGACACACACACUAAAAUGAACAAGGUAAACACCAAAAUUGCACACUACAUCUUCCACCCACUAUACCCAUUUGCAAAUAUAAAACUCUUUGUGAGAUAAAAACAAUAAAACAUCACAAUUAUUCCAAAAAAAUAGAUGAAAAGAAGCUCAACUUCCUGGUUCACAAUUUUUUUUUUUCUUUCAUAAAUAUCCGUCUUUAGUUUUGUGCUUUCUCAGCUGGUAACAACGUAUUGAUUAUCAACGCCAUUUGAUCCAUUAUCCUCUUAAUCAAAUCACAUGAUUGCAUUAGACAAUUUCAGUAUCUAUAAUGCCACAAUAUCAUGAUAUCCCCCUUCAUAUCAAAUCACACAGUUUCACAUUAUGACUUACCCUCAUCAAGAAAAUACUGAUAGAGAUUGCUUCAAAGGCCACGUUUGUUGUUCUCCAAGCAGAGAAACGGUUUAUUCAGAUUUAAAAAAGAGCUCAAUAUAACAAUUAUUUUCUAAUAAAAGGACAUUUAUAGAAAACUAUUUAUCAUCAUAUGUUCACAGCAAAGCUUUGACAAAGGAUAAAGCUUUGCAAUAAUUAAUUGAGCACAACUUGUGAAUACUUAAAUUCAUCAAAGGAUAAGUUAAAUGUUACUGUCAUGAGUAGGAGUCCCAUUACCAAAUGGGUAGCAUAACACAAAUAUUUGAGAUGCACAAGAAAUAUCCACUGGGUGUUUUAAAGUUUAGUGUUAAAAGUUGGAGUUUGGAUCAAUGUCACUAGGUGUUCGGGUCUCAAUGAUACGGUUGGUAUCAGUCUUGCAGACUCACAGUCAGUGUCGUUCACAACCUUGAUUCACGUUCUUAAACACUGACACCCAACACCAAACUUGAGUCACCCAAGGGAAUCCUGCGGUGCAUUUCAAUCAUUUCAUGUCCUCACUUUCAGGAUUCUGAGAGUCGUUGCAACAAGAUUAUCCUCAUUGAACCUGAAGGGAUUUUAAUCCAUACUCUAUGAUCCCGGGAUAAAGACAUAUUCACAGAGCCCAGUAUUCAAAGGGUUAACACUUCUUGGCACAGCUGAGAUUUUAACCCUACCACACUGGAAUUCUGUAAUUUCCACAGACUUUGCACAGGGACCACACAGUUACAUAAGGUGACUGGUUAACAGCCUUCUGGCCCGAACAGACAUUGAGAAUAUGAUAAUGGAAACAUGAAGAAUCUGGUGCGUGUGACCUAUAAUGCACU
Lytechinus variegatus (green sea urchin) is the source of this 3049-nucleotide long non-coding RNA. RefSeq lists it as uncharacterized. Lineage: Eukaryota; Metazoa; Echinodermata; Echinoidea; Temnopleuroida; Toxopneustidae. The record is from RefSeq and is a predicted model, not a curated record. The transcript is spliced from 2 exons.